AUUGAACGCUAGCGGGAUGCCUUACACAUGCAAGUCGAACGGAGUGGCGAACGGGUGAGUAAUGUAUCGGAACGUGCCCAGUAGAGGGGGAUAACUACGCGAAAGCGUAGCUAAUACCGCAUAAUAUUGUAGCGGCCGUUCUCGGAUUAGCUAGUUGGUUGGGUAAAGGCUCACCAAGGCGACGAUCCGUAGCUUGUUUGAGAGGACGACCAGCCACACUGGGACUGAGACACGGCCCAGACUCGUACGGGAGGCAGCAGUGGGGAAUUUUGUACAAUGGUGGAAACCCUGAUCCAGACAUCCCGCGUGUGCGAUGAAGGCCUGCGGGUUGUAAAGCACUUUUGGCAUGAAAGCGGUACCUGAAGAAUAAGCACCGGCUAACUACGUGCCAGCAGCCGCGGUAAUUC
Molecule: ribosomal RNA, 407 nt
Filed under: uncultured bacterium
Lineage: Bacteria
Description: partial 16S ribosomal RNA
Rfam family: Bacterial small subunit ribosomal RNA
Source: RNAcentral